RNAcentral lists this unclassified non-coding RNA (346 nucleotides) under uncultured fungus. Its description in RNAcentral is "sequence contains ITS1". The stretch from base 1 to 105 matches the Rfam family "5.8S ribosomal RNA", at positions 50 to 154 of the family's 154-position model. Lineage: Eukaryota; Fungi. The record is from RNAcentral.
GAAGUGCGAUAAGCAAUGCGAAUUGCAGAAUUCCGCGAAUCAUCAGAUCUUUGAACGCAAAUGGCGCCGGAGGGAUAUCCUUUCGGCAUGUCUGUUUCAGUGUCUGAGAGGUUUCACAAAAAUCUUAAUGUGAUUGAAGGGUUGCUUUGAGAUAGCAAUAUCUCGCUCCAAUCCUUCUCUCAUGAAAGAUGGGUGAGUGGAUCUUUCGGUCCAAUGAAGUGGUCACAUCACUCGCAUGUGAUUUCAUUGGAAAUCACCGAAUUAUCCGUAUACUCACCGUAACAAAACAACAACAAAAUCUCCAUACCCUGCAUCUGAGAUAGGCAAGAUCACCCGCUGAACUUAA